This 253-nucleotide ribosomal RNA is filed under the name uncultured bacterium. RNAcentral describes it as "partial 16S ribosomal RNA". It matches the Rfam family "Bacterial small subunit ribosomal RNA", at positions 524 to 776 of the family's 1533-position model. The record is from RNAcentral.
UACGAAGGGUGCAAGCGUUACUCGGAAUUACUGGGCGUAAAGGGUGCGUAGGUGGUUUGUUAAGUCUGCUGUGAAAUCCCCGGGCUCAACCUGGGAAUGGCAGUGGAUACUGGCAAGCUAGAGUGCGGUAGAGGGUAGUGGAAUUCCCGGUGUAGCGGUGGAAUGCGCAGAUAUCAGGAGGAACACCGAUGGCGAAGGCAGAUCUCUGGGCCGUUACUGACGCUGAGGAGCGAAAGCGUGGGGAGCGAACAGG